GGGCCUGUAGCUCAGUUGGUUAGAGCGCACCCCUGAUAAGGGUGAGGUCGGUGGUUCGAGUCCACCCAGGCCCA
Methylobacter tundripaludum SV96 is the source of this 74-nucleotide transfer RNA. It matches the Rfam family "tRNA". From Rfam's summary of the family: Transfer RNA (tRNA) molecules are approximately 80 nucleotides in length. Their secondary structure includes four short double-helical elements and three loops (D, anti-codon, and T loops). Further hydrogen bonds mediate the characteristic L-shaped molecular structure. tRNAs have two regions of fundamental functional importance: the anti-codon, which is responsible for specific mRNA codon recognition, and the 3' end, to which the tRNAs corresponding amino acid is attached (by aminoacyl-tRNA synthetases). tRNAs cope with the degeneracy of the genetic code in two manners: having more than one tRNA (with a specific anti-codon) for a particular amino acid; and 'wobble' base-pairing, i.e. permitting non-standard base-pairing at the 3rd anti-codon position. NCBI's taxonomy places the organism in Bacteria, Pseudomonadati, Pseudomonadota, Gammaproteobacteria, Methylococcales, Methylococcaceae. The record is from Rfam.